Molecule: ribosomal RNA, 490 nt
Filed under: uncultured bacterium
Lineage: Bacteria
Description: partial 16S ribosomal RNA
Rfam family: Bacterial small subunit ribosomal RNA
Source: RNAcentral
AGUGAACGCUGGCGGUAGGCCUAACACAUGCAAGUCGAACGGCAGCACAGUAAGAGCUUGCUCUUACGGGUGGCGAGUGGCGGACGGGUGAGGAAUACAUCGGAAUCUACUUUUUCGUGGGGGAUAACGUAGGGAAACUUACGCUAAUACCGCAUACGACCUACGGGUGAAAGCAGGGGAUCUUCGGACCUUGCGCGAUUGAAUGAGCCGAUGUCGGAUUAGCUAGUUGGCGGGGUAAAGGCCCACCAAGGCGACGAUCCGUAGUUGGUCUGAGAGGAUGAGCAGCCACACUGGAACUGAGACACGGUCCAGACUCCUACGGGAGGCAGCAGUGGGGAAUAUUGGACAAUGGGCGCAAGCCUGAUCCAGCCAUACCGCGUGGGUGAAGAAGGCCUUCGGGUUGUAAAGCCCUUUUGUUGGGAAAGAAAAGCAGCAGGUUAAUACCCCGCUGUUCUGACGGUACCCAAAGAAUAAGCACCGGCUAACUUCG